UACAGAGGGUGCGAGCGUUGUUCGGAAUUAUUGGGCGUAAAGGGCGCGUAGGCGGUGCGGUAAGUCACCUGUGAAAUCUCCUGGCUCAACUGGGAGCUUGCAGGCGAAACUGCCGUGCUGGAGUGUGGGAGAGGUGCGUGGAAUUCCUGGUGUAGCGGUGAAAUGCGUAGAUAUCGGAAAGAACACCAACGGCGAAAGCACUCUGCUGGGCCGACACUGACACUGAGAGACGAAAGCUAGGGGAGCGAAUGGG
Molecule: ribosomal RNA, 253 nt
Filed under: uncultured bacterium
Lineage: Bacteria
Description: partial 16S ribosomal RNA
Rfam family: Bacterial small subunit ribosomal RNA
Source: RNAcentral